UCAUCAAAUAAAAAAUAACACUAAUAAAUCCACACCUUAAGAUGAGCAAACAACAAGUUGUCGAUGAAAUUCAUAAGGCAGCGCGAAAAAACUUCAUACGGCGAAAGUUCGUUCAAAAAGGGAUAAAUGACACAUGGCAAAUUGAUUUAGUUGAAAUGAUACCAUUUUGGAAAGAAAAUAAGGGUUUUAGAUAUUUACUGACCGUUAUUGACACGUUCUCAAAGUAUGCAUACGCCGAGGCAGUUAAGUCAAAGUCUGCCCUGGAUGUAGCAGAGGCAAUGAAAUCUGUUUUUAAAAAGUGUAAAAGUACACCCAAGAAUAUUCAGUCAAAUCAAGGGAAAGAAUUUUUUAAUUCCACUUUUAAGAAAUUAAUGGAUAAAUUUGAUUGAUCAAGGCUUCUAUAUGUGAACGCUUUAAUAGAACAUUAAAAAAUCGUAUGUGGAAAAUGUUUAAUAUGCAGGGUAAAUAUAAGUGGAUUCAUAAAAUCAAUUAUCUCGUAAAUCAAUACAAUAAUUCAUAUCACCGAACAAUUAAAAUGAAGCCUAUAGAUGUCUGCACGAAAAAUGAAGAGUUUAUUUUAAAAUCGAAUAAGUAAAUACAAGGGAGCAUUUAUGAAGGGAUACGAACCUGAUUGGACCACAGAAGUUUUUAAAGUUUUAAAAGUCAAGUCUACAUACCCCGUAACAUAUGAAAUACAAGAUUAUAUGGGUACCCCUAUUAAUGGGUCAUUUUAUGAAGAGGAACUUCAAAAAGUGAAAGACAAAAAUGCUUUCCUAGUAGAGAAAAUACUAAAAAGGAAAAAUAAUCAAUUGCUUGUAAAAUGGAGCGGUUUCGAUUCCAGCCACAACUCAUGGAUAUCUGUAAAUGACCUGCUAAAGUAAUAAAACGCAACAAUAACAAGUUUAA
Molecule: long non-coding RNA, 906 nt
Organism: Drosophila biarmipes
Lineage: Eukaryota; Metazoa; Arthropoda; Insecta; Diptera; Drosophilidae
Exons: 2
Source: RefSeq, a predicted model, not a curated record